CUAAGCUCAUUAUUUUCGAAGAUGAUGUUGUUGGUUAUUUUUGUUUAGAAGGUGAUAUUGUUGGUUACUUUAUUUGUUGAAAAUGCUUAAGUGCCGAUGACUUUAAUAGUGAAUUAGUGUUUAGAAGGUGAUGUUGUUGGUGACUUUAUUUGUUGAAAAUGCUUAAGUGCCGAUGACUUUAAUAGUGAACUUUUGUUUAGAAGGUGAUGUUGUUGGUUACUUUAUUUGUUGAAAAUGGUUAAGUGCCGGUGACUUUAAAAGUGAACUUUUGUUUAGAAGGUGAUGUUGUUGGUUACUUUAUUUGUUGAAAAUGCUUAAGUGCUGGUGACUUUAAUAGUGAAUUAGUGUUUAGAAGGCGAUGUUGUUGGUGACUUUAUUUGUUAAAAAUGCUUAAGUUUUGGUGACUUUAAUAGUGAAUUAGUGUUUAGGAGGUGAUGUUGUUGGUGACUUUAUUUGUUGAAAAUGCUUUAGUGCCGGUGACUUUAUUUGUUGGUGACUGCUGUAUAUUAUUGUUGUGGUUGCAUGC
Molecule: long non-coding RNA, 526 nt
Filed under: Capsicum annuum
Lineage: Eukaryota; Viridiplantae; Streptophyta; Magnoliopsida; Solanales; Solanaceae
Description: long non-coding RNA (CANN_LNC008715)
Source: RNAcentral